Molecule: ribosomal RNA, 654 nt
Filed under: uncultured archaeon
Lineage: Archaea
Description: bacterial SSU rRNA
Rfam family: Archaeal small subunit ribosomal RNA
Source: RNAcentral
GCCUAAAGCGUCCGUAGCCUGCUUUGUAAGUUUCCGGUUAAAUCCAUUAGCUUAACUGAUGGGCCGCCGGAAAAACUGCAAAGCUAGGGAGUGGGAGAGGUAGACGGUACUCGGUAGGAAGGGGUAAAAUCCUUUGAUCUAUCGAUGACCACCAGUGGCGAAGGCGGUCUACCAGAACACGUUCGACGGUGAGGGAUGAAAGCUGGGGGAGCAAACCGGAUUAGAUACCCGGGUAGUCCCAGCUGUAAACGAUGCAGACUCGGUGAUGCACUGGCUUGUGGCCAGUGCAGUGCCGCAGGGAAGCCGUUAAGUUUGCCGCCUGGGAAGUACGUACGCAAGUAUGAAACUUAAAGGAAUUGGCGGGGGAGCACCACAAGGGGUGAAGCCUGCGGUUCAAUUGGAGUCAACGCCAGAAAUCUUACCCGAAGAGACAGCAGAAUGAAGGUCAAGCUGGAGACUUUACCAGACAAGCUGAGAAGUGGUGCAUGGCCGUCGCCAGCUCGUGCCGUGAGAUGUCCUGUUAAGUCAGGUAACGAGCGAGAUCCCUGCCUCUAGUUGCCACCAUUACUCUCAGGAGUAGUGGGGCGAAUUAGCGGGACCGCCGCAGUUAAUGCGGAGGAAGGAAGGGGCCACGGCAGGUCAGUAUGCCCCGAA